RNAcentral lists this long non-coding RNA (2762 nucleotides) under Homo sapiens (human). Its description in RNAcentral is "HSALNT0033014". The record is from RNAcentral. Lineage: Eukaryota; Metazoa; Chordata; Mammalia; Primates; Hominidae.
GUAACUCUCUGAAGGCCAUGGUGCCAGUCAAAUAGAAAUAUAACUUAGCAAAACGGAAACAGGAGAAGGGUGAUGAUGCUUGGGAAGUGCUGGCCUCCUCCUUCCUCUACCCUCUUCUUUUUGGGCAUAUUCUCUUGCAACUAUCAACCUUCCCUCUGCCUCUCUCCAACAAUGGGGAGGCUUGUGCUGGGAGCAGGCCCUUAGUCAUAUAAUCAGAUGGAUUUCUACUCUUUCCAAUCCAAUUUAUGGCUUUCUGAUCUAUUUAAAGUACAAUUAAUCUGGGGAUGUCUUAAUUUACAUAUAUUACAUUAAAUGAAUUAUUAGGGGCAUAGGAUGAAGCUGUGAAGUUACACAGUCUGAGUUCUCAUCUCAACAUUUCCACUCAAGAACGAUGUGACUUUGCUGAAGCUACUAAAAUUCUGUGCCUCAGUUUCCUCAUCUGUCAAUUGGAGAGGAUCAUAGUUGUAGCCACCUUAUAGGCUUUUGGAGCCCAGAACAAACAAUAAGAAUGAUUCAUGCUGUCCAUGGUAAUAAUGUUAAACAACUGCACCGAGCUUGUGAAAUGACAUCUGAGAAGAUUAGUGGGCUCCCAGUAGCGGAAGCAAUGGGAAGGCUUAACAAAGACUCUGCUUAGCCUUCCUUCCUUGAAUUCUAGUUCAUUUAUUGAUUCAUAACUGACCAUUUGAUUAAGGAGACAACCUGACUUACACAGCAGCCAGUGUCCUGGAAAGUACUUAACCAAGACACAUUACUUUUAGUCCUAAUGAAGAAACUAUCAGGUCUGGUAAGAAUAAGAGGAAACAAAAUGUUAUUGGCAUGCUCAAUAAUGAUAAAGCCAAGAUGUCACCUGCCAGUACAAUGAAGAGGGACUGGGGUCUUGGCACUAAAAGGUGCAACUGAAGGAACAGAGAAACUGUGUAAUUGUAAAACCUCCUUGUGGCCCCACAUGGCUCAUACUCAAAUGAUUCCAGUGUCUAUGGCCUGAGAAGUGCUUCAUGAAAUGAGGAACAGUGCCUCAAGUCAGAGAUUGGCAUGGUGAGUCGCCGGGAGGUGGAAAAGAGGCACAGCUUCAUUGAAGCUACAGUUGGCUGCAAGGAACCAUUUCAAAUCAUCUUAGUUCUACGGGGCCAUUCAGGUGGCAAAGGCCCAGGUAACAUUUGAUCAAGUUGCUACAGGGCUUGGACCUACUUUUAUUGCCCCUUACUUUUCCCACUAACAUUUUUGCUUGAAAUAUCGAUGUUUUUUUGGUGCAGCAAAACUCUUUUCCCACAGCUAAAUUGAAGUAGGGCAUAUGUGCUUCCCUCACCUCGCUCCCAGUCCCUCUUGACCCCGAAAUGGUCUAGCAGCCUGUGCUUUGUUAAACUGAAAAUGUGUAGAAAUUUUUAUAGAGAUAUUCAGCUAUAUAAAUAGCUUUGAAAUUUGUCAUAACUUUAAAAACAGGUCAAAAAGGAAAUUGAACAGCUAGUGAGUUUCUGUCUUAGUCCGUUUUGUGCUGCUAUAACAGAAUACCAUAAACUAGGUAAUUUAUAAACAAUAGAAGUUUAUUUGUCUCAAUGGCCAACAAGCAUAUGGAAAAAUGUUCAACAUCACUAAUUAUCAGGGAAAUACAAAUCAAAACCACAGUGCGAUACCACGUAACUUCUGCAAUAAUGGUCAUAAUCAAAAAAUAAUAAUAAAUAAAUAGAUGUUGGCAUGGAUAUGGUGAAAAGGGAACACUUUUACUGGGUUGGUGGGAAUGUAAACUAGCACAACCACUAUAGAAAACAGUAUGGAGACUCCUUAAAGAACUAAAAGUAGACCUACCAUUUGACCUAGCAACCCCACUGCUAUGUAUCUGCUCAGAAGUAAAGAAGUCAUUAUACAAAAAAGACACUUGUUACAUGCAUGUAUAUAGCAGUACAAUUGCCCAAAUGCCCAUCAAUCAAUGAGUGGAUAAAAAAUGUUAUAUACAUACAUAUAUGUGUGUGUAUAUAUACAUAUACAUAUACACACACACACACAUACACACACACACACACACACACACACAUAUACCAUGGAAUACUGCUCAGCCAAAGAAAGGAAUGAAAUAAUGGGAUUUGCAGCAACCUGGAUGGAAUUGGAGGCUAUUAUUCUAAGUGAAGUAACUCAGGAAUAGAUAACCAAACAUACAUGUUCUCACUCAUAUGUGGGAACUAAGCUAUGAGAAUGCAAAGGCAUAAGAAUGAUAUAUUGGAGUUUGGAGACUCAAAGGAAAGAGUGGGGGAGAGGGAGGGAUAAAAGACUACACAUUGGGUACAGUAUACAAUGCUUGAGUGAUGGGUGCAACAAAAUCUCAGAAAUCCCCACUAAUGAGCAUAUUCAUGUAACAAAAUACCAUCUGUUCCCCAAAACUUAUUGAAAUAAAAAAUAAAAAAUUAAUGAUAAUAACAAUAAAAAGAAGUUUAUUUGUCUUAUGUUUCUGGAGGCCAGGAAGUCCAAGAUCAAGGGGUUGCAUCUAGUGGGGGUCUUCUUGCUGAGUCAUAACCUGGCAGAAGACAUCACAUGAAGAGAGAAUGGAUGAGAGCCAGCAAGCAAGAGAGGGCCAAACUUGCUUUUAUAACAAACCCAUUCCUGACAUCAUGAACUUACCCCUGCCAUAAUGACAUUAAUCCAUUCCAGGGGGCAAAGCUCUCAUGACCUAAUCACCUCUCAAAAGUGCCACCUCUCGAUGCUGUUGCAUUGGGGAUUAAGUUUCCAACACAUGAACUCUGGGGAGAUGCAUUCAAACCUUAGCAGUUUAA